CGCGGCCUAUCAGCUUGUUGGCGGGGUAACGGCCCACCAAGGCAACGACGGGUAGCUGGUUUGAGAGAACGAUCAGCCACACUGGAACUGAGACACGGUCCAGACUUCUACGGAAGGCAGCAGUAGGGAAUCUUGCGCAAUGGGCGAAAGCCUGACGCAGCGACGCCGCGUGCGGGAUGACGGCCCUAGUGGUUGUAAACCGCUUUCAGCAGGGACGAAAAUGACGGUACCUGCAGAAGAAGUCCCGGCUAACUACGUGCCAGCAGCCGCGGUAAUACGUAGGGGACAAGCGUUGUCCGGAUUCAUUGGGCGUAAAGAGCUCGUAGGCGGUUCAGUAAGUUGGGUGUGAAAGCUCCGGGCUCAACCCGGAGAGGCCACUCAAUACUGCUGUGACUAGAGUCCAGUAGAGGAGCGUGGAACUCCUGGUGUAGCGGUGAAAUGCGCAGAUAUCAGGAAGAACACCGGCAGCGAAGGCGGCGCUCUGGGCUGGUACUGACGCUGAGGAGCGAAAGCAUGGGUAGCAAACAGGAUUAGAUACCCUGGUGGUCCAUGCCGUAAACGUUGGGCACUAGGUGUGGGGAGGAAUCAACCCUCUCCGUGCCGUAGCUAACGCAUUAAGUGCCCCGCCUGGGGAGUACGG
RNAcentral lists this ribosomal RNA (640 nucleotides) under uncultured bacterium. Its description in RNAcentral is "bacterial SSU rRNA". It matches the Rfam family "Bacterial small subunit ribosomal RNA", at positions 232 to 885 of the family's 1533-position model. The record is from RNAcentral.